GAUGAACGCUGGCGGCGUGCCUAAUACAUGCAAGUCGAGCGAACAGACGAGGAGCUUGCUCCUCUGACGUUAGCGGCGGACGGGUGAGUAACACGUGUAUAACCUACCUAUAAGACUGGGAUAACUUCGGGAAACCGGAGCUAAUACCGGAUAAUAUAUUGAACCGCAUGGUUCAAUAGUGAAAGACGGUUUUGCUGUCACUUAUAGAUGGAUCCGCGCCGCAUUAGCUAGUUGGUAAGGUAACGGCUUACCAAGGCAACGAUGCGUAGCCGACCUGAGAGGGUGAUCGGCCACACUGGAACUGAGACACGGUCCAGACUCCUACGGGAGGCAGCAGUAGGGAAUCUUCCGCAAUGGGCGAAAGCCUGACGGAGCAACGCCGCGUGAGUGAUGAAGGUCUUCGGAUCUUAAAACUCUGUUAUUAGGGAAGAACAAAUGUGUAAGUAACUAUGCACGUCUUGACGGUACCUAAUCAGAAAGCCACGGCUAACUACGUG
Molecule: ribosomal RNA, 497 nt
Filed under: uncultured bacterium
Lineage: Bacteria
Description: partial 16S ribosomal RNA
Rfam family: Bacterial small subunit ribosomal RNA
Source: RNAcentral